RNAcentral lists this ribosomal RNA (809 nucleotides) under uncultured Sphingobacteriales bacterium. RNAcentral's name for it is "bacterial SSU rRNA". It matches the Rfam family "Bacterial small subunit ribosomal RNA", at positions 66 to 867 of the family's 1533-position model. The record is from RNAcentral. Lineage: Bacteria; Pseudomonadati; Bacteroidota; Sphingobacteriia; Sphingobacteriales.
GGGGCAGCAGGUCCGUAGCAAUACGGAUGCUGGCGACCGGCAAACGGGUGCGGAACACGUACACAACCUUCCUUUAAGUGGGGAAUAGCCCGGGGAAACCCGGAUUAAUACCCCGUAAUAUAAUGAAGUGGCAUCGCUUUAUUAUUAUAGCAGCAAUGCGCUUGAAGAUGGGUGUGCGACUGAUUAGGCAGUUGGCGGGGUAACGGCCCACCAAACCUACGAUCAGUAACUGGUGUGAGAGCACGACCAGUCACACGGGCACUGAGACACGGGCCCGACUCCUACGGGAGGCAGCAGUAAGGAAUAUUGGUCAAUGGACGCAAGUCUGAACCAGCCAUGCCGCGUGGAGGAUGAAGGUCCUCUGGAUUGUAAACUUCUUUUAUCUGGGAAGAAAUCCAUGAAUUCUUUUGUGGUUGACGGUACCAGAUGAAUAAGCACCGGCUAACUCCGUGCCAGCAGCCGCGGUAAUACGGAGGGUGCAAGCGUUAUCCGGAUUCACUGGGUUUAAAGGGUGCGUAGGUGGGCAGGUAAGUCAGUGGUGAAAUCUCCGGGCUUAACUCGGAAACUGCCAUUGAUACUAUCUGUCUUGAAUACCGUGGAGGUCAGCGGAAUAUGUCAUGUAGCGGUGAAAUGCUUAGAUAUGACAUAGAACACCAAUUGCGAAGGCAGCUGGCUACACGAAUAUUGACACUGAUGCACGAAAGCGAGGGGAUCAAACAGGAUUAGAUACCCUGGUAGUCCACGCCCUAAACGAUGGAUACUCGACAUACGCGAUAUACUGUGUGUGUCUGAGCGAAAGCAUUAAGUAU